This 318-nucleotide unclassified non-coding RNA is filed under the name air metagenome. Its description in RNAcentral is "partial contains small subunit ribosomal RNA, internal transcribed spacer 1, and 5.8S ribosomal RNA". The stretch from base 1 to 46 matches the Rfam family "Eukaryotic small subunit ribosomal RNA", at positions 1786 to 1831 of the family's 1831-position model. The record is from RNAcentral.
AAGUCGUAACAAGGUUUCCGUAGGUGAACCUGCGGAAGGAUCAUUACCAGGUUUCUCGCGCAAGCGAGGCGACCCCGAUCUAAGUCAUCACUACUGCGGCGAUGGGCGAACGUCCGGACGGGUUCUCGGCCCGAAACGACGGGAGCCGAUCUCAGCAGGGAUUCCUUUCGGCGGAGGGCUCGCGGCUGAGCUUGCAUACCACAAGUGUGGUGUCGAGCGAAGGCGCGGCCGCCGUCGGCCGUAUAACUCUGAGUAUCGUGAAGUACGAAGAUGAAGCAAAAAGAAACAAAACUUUCAACAACGGAUCUCUUGGCUCUG